AGUUCGUGGAGUGAUCUGUCUGCUUAAUUGCGUUUCAAAUUUUUAACCGAGGACCGGGUUUUGGUUUGGCUAGUGGUCCUACGAUGACUGUGAACUGUCAUGUCUUCGGAUGUACGACUAUCGGUCUAGGAUCACAUGACUUGCCCCUGGGACUCUUUUGAACGCAACGGACGUGAUUGCAACCCCUUGUUGAGAUUAGAGAUAGUCUCGAUAUUCACUGGCCAAACUGGCUGCUUUAUGCAGUCUUGUUGAAUGGUGGAUAAACUCGGGGGACUGCUGACUAUAACCAUUUCUCAAAACAGAGGAAGGUUGCGGCAAUAACAGGUCUGUGAUGCCCUCAGAUGUCCCGGGCUGCACACGUGCUACAAUGAGUGGCGCAAUGUGCUAAUGUUUUAAGGGAUAAGCGUGCGGCCAGUAGAACGUCGGCAAUUGCCCUGGCGUCUUCUACCGCACGAUUAUCAGCCUUCCCUUAACAGGGCGGGCAACCUUUUCAAAAUACCGGUUUGAUGUUAAAGUAUAGAGUCGUUUUUUUUGGAUGGUGGUUUACGAACCAAUACCAUCCGCAACUGCUCGCGAGUUUGUGGUUCUGGUGACUCA
This 597-nucleotide ribosomal RNA is filed under the name Globigerinoides ruber albus. Its description in RNAcentral is "partial small subunit ribosomal RNA". It matches the Rfam family "Eukaryotic small subunit ribosomal RNA", at positions 1296 to 1605 of the family's 1831-position model. The record is from RNAcentral. Lineage: Eukaryota; Foraminifera; Rotaliida; Globigerinidae.